This 484-nucleotide ribosomal RNA is filed under the name uncultured bacterium. RNAcentral's name for it is "partial 16S ribosomal RNA". It matches the Rfam family "Bacterial small subunit ribosomal RNA", at positions 30 to 507 of the family's 1533-position model. The record is from RNAcentral.
AUUGAACGCUGGCGGAAUGCUUUACACAUGCAAGUCGAACGGCAGCACGGGGGCAACCCUGGUGGCGAGUGGCGAACGGGUGAGUAAUACAUCGGAACGUGCCCGGUCGUGGGGGAUAACGUAGCGAAAGUUACGCUAAUACCGCAUACGAUCUGAGGAUGAAAGCGGGGGACCUUCGGGCCUCGCGCGAUCGGAGCGGCCGAUGUCAGAUUAGGUAGUUGGUGGGGUAAAGGCCUACCAAGCCGACGAUCUGUAGCUGGUCUGAGAGGACGACCAGCCACACUGGGACUGAGACACGGCCCAGACUCCUACGGGAGGCAGCAGUGGGGAAUUUUGGACAAUGGGCGCAAGCCUGAUCCAGCCAUUCCGCGUGCAGGACGAAGGCCUUCGGGUUGUAAACUGCUUUUGUAUGGAACGAAAAGGAUCUGGCUAAUACCUGGGGCUCAUGACGGUACCGUAAGAAUAAGCACCGGCUAACUACGUG